Molecule: transfer RNA, 30 nt
Filed under: Meliosma alba
Lineage: Eukaryota; Viridiplantae; Streptophyta; Magnoliopsida; Proteales; Sabiaceae
Also listed under: 1 other name
Description: partial tRNA-Leu
Source: RNAcentral
GCCGCCAUGGUGAAAUCGGUAGACACGCUG